This 273-nucleotide ribosomal RNA is filed under the name uncultured bacterium. RNAcentral describes it as "partial 16S ribosomal RNA". It matches the Rfam family "Bacterial small subunit ribosomal RNA", at positions 524 to 796 of the family's 1533-position model. The record is from RNAcentral.
UACGAAGGGGGCUAGCGUUGUUCGGAAUCACUGGGCGUAAAGCGCGCGUAGGCGGACUUUUAAGUCAGGGGUGAAAUCCCGGGGCUCAACCUCGGAACUGCCUUUGAUACUGGAAGUCUUGAGUUCGAGAGAGGUGAGUGGAAUACCGAGUGUAGAGGUGAAAUUCGUAGAUAUUCGGUGGAACACCAGUGGCGAAGGCGGCUCACUGGCUCGAUACUGACGCUGAGGUGCGAAAGCGUGGGGAGCAAACAGGAUUAGAUACCCGUGUAGUCC